RNAcentral lists this ribosomal RNA (449 nucleotides) under uncultured bacterium. Its description in RNAcentral is "partial 16S ribosomal RNA". It matches the Rfam family "Bacterial small subunit ribosomal RNA", at positions 29 to 523 of the family's 1533-position model. The record is from RNAcentral.
AGCGAACGCUGGCGGCAGGCCUAACACAUGCAAGUCGAACGGAUCCUUCGGGAUUAGUGGCGGACGGGUGAGUAACACGUGGGAACGUGCCCUUUGGUUCGGAACAACUCAGGGAAACUUGAGCUAAUACCGGAUGUGCCCUUCGGGGGAAAGAUUUAUCGCCAUUGGAGCGGCCCGCGUCUGAUUAGCUAGUUGGUGAGGUAAAGGCUCACCAAGGCGACGAUCAGUAGCUGGUCUGAGAGGAUGAUCAGCCACAUUGGGACUGAGACACGGCCCAAACUCCUACGGGAGGCAGCAGUGGGGAAUCUUGCGCAAUGGGCGAAAGCCUGACGCAGCCAUGCCGCGUGAAUGAUGAAGGUCUUAGGAUUGUAAAAUUCUUUCACCGGGGACAAUAAUGACGGUACCCGGAGAAGAAGCCCCGGCUAACUUCGUGCCAGCAGCCGCAGUAA